Molecule: transfer RNA, 73 nt
Filed under: Dipodomys ordii (Ord's kangaroo rat)
Lineage: Eukaryota; Metazoa; Chordata; Mammalia; Rodentia; Heteromyidae
Rfam family: tRNA
About the family: Transfer RNA (tRNA) molecules are approximately 80 nucleotides in length. Their secondary structure includes four short double-helical elements and three loops (D, anti-codon, and T loops). Further hydrogen bonds mediate the characteristic L-shaped molecular structure. tRNAs have two regions of fundamental functional importance: the anti-codon, which is responsible for specific mRNA codon recognition, and the 3' end, to which the tRNAs corresponding amino acid is attached (by aminoacyl-tRNA synthetases). tRNAs cope with the degeneracy of the genetic code in two manners: having more than one tRNA (with a specific anti-codon) for a particular amino acid; and 'wobble' base-pairing, i.e. permitting non-standard base-pairing at the 3rd anti-codon position.
Source: Rfam by way of RNAcentral
GGUGGAGUGACUCAAGUGGUCAAGUGUCUGCUUAGCAAGCAUAAAGCCCUGAGUUCAAUCCUCAGUCCUAUCC